Molecule: ribosomal RNA, 492 nt
Filed under: uncultured bacterium
Lineage: Bacteria
Description: partial 16S ribosomal RNA
Rfam family: Bacterial small subunit ribosomal RNA
Source: RNAcentral
AGUGAACGCUGGCGGUAGGCCUAACACAUGCAAGUCGAACGGCAGCACAGUAAGAGCUUGCUCUUACGGGUGGCGAGUGGCGGACGGGUGAGGAAUACAUCGGAAUCUACUUUUUCGUGGGGGAUAACGUAGGGAAACUUACGCUAAUACCGCAUACGACCUACGGUUGAAAGCAUGGGAUCUUCGGACCUUGCGCGAUUGAAUGAGCCGAUGUCGGAUUAGCUAGUUGGCGGGGUAAAGGCCCACCAAGGCGACGAUCCGUAGCUGGUCUGAGAGGAUGAUCAGCCACACUGGAACUGAGACACGGUCAAGACUCCUACGGGAGGCAGCAGUGGGGAAUAUUGGACAAUGGGCGCAAGCAUGAUCCAGCCAUACCGCGUGGGUGAAGAAGGCCUUCGGGUUGUAAAGCCCUUUUGUUGGGAAAGAAAAGCAGCAGGUUAAUACCCAGCUGUUCUGACGGUACCCAAAGAAUAAGCACCGGCUAACUUCGUG